UGGGGAAUAUUGGACAAUGGGCGCAAGCCUGAUCCAGCCAUGCCGCGUGAGUGAUGAAGGCCCUAGGGUUGUAAAGCUCUUUCACCGGUGAAGAUAAUGACGGUAACCGGAGAAGAAGCCCCGGCUAACUUCGUGCCAGCAGCCGCGGUCAUACGAAGGGGGCUAGCGUUGUUCGGAUUUACUGGGCGUAAAGCGCACGUAGGCGGAGUUUUAAGUCAGGGGUGAAAUCCCGGGGCUCAACCCCGGAACUGCCUUUGAUACUGGAAGUCUUGAGUAUGGUAGAGGUGAGUGGAAUUCCGAGUGUAGAGGUGAAAUUCGUAGAUAUUCGGAGGAACACCAGUGGCGAAGGCGGCUCACUGGACCAUUACUGAAGCUGAGGUGCGAAAGCGUGGGGAGCAAACAGG
RNAcentral lists this ribosomal RNA (404 nucleotides) under Actinomycetes bacterium. RNAcentral describes it as "Actinobacteria bacterium partial 16S ribosomal RNA". It matches the Rfam family "Bacterial small subunit ribosomal RNA", at positions 355 to 776 of the family's 1533-position model. Lineage: Bacteria; Bacillati; Actinomycetota; Actinomycetes. The record is from RNAcentral.